This is a long non-coding RNA of Mauremys reevesii (Reeves's turtle), 413 nucleotides long. RefSeq lists it as uncharacterized. The record is from RefSeq and is a predicted model, not a curated record. NCBI's taxonomy places the organism in Eukaryota, Metazoa, Chordata, Testudines, Geoemydidae. The transcript has 3 exons.
GUUAUCAGCACAGCAGCAAAGCCCUCUUUAUACUAAAACUGCUAUGGGGGAGAUCAGGUCCCUUCUGAUUUAACAAAGACUGGAUUCUAGGUGAAAGCCACAUGACUUCAGAUCAGUAUAGAAAUGUUUUCCAAGGCGGGAACUGACACUAUGAAAAGGGGGACAAACACCCUAAGGUACCCCCACUUCUUCCUCUCUCUGUCCAUUGAUUCACUACACCAGAAGGAAGAAAGGAAGCAACCAUUAAAGAGGAGCAGAGGUCCAAAUCUAAGGACUGCUCAGAGCUUGUGGAAUAAAAGUAGUAGAAGAACUGAAAGUAGUUGAAGGAGGAAGUCGGGCCUAAGCAAGGGGAGAAACAUCAGCUAUUACAAUAUAUACAAAUAUUCCAGCAAAGUGAAGUUCUGACUGUGGUC